GACGAACGCUGGCGGCGGGCUUAACACAUGCAAGUCGAACGGCAAGGCCCUGCUUGUGUGCGGUGCUCGAGGGGCGAACGGGUGAGUAACACGUGAGUAACCUGCCCUUGACUUUGGGAUAACUUAAGGUAACUGGGGCUACUACCGGACAGGAGCUCCCGCUGCAUGGUGGGGGUUGGAAAGUUUCGGCGGUUGGGGAUGGACUCGCGGCUUAUCAGCUUGUUGGUGGGGUAGUGGUUUACCCAGGCUUUGACGGGUAGCCGGCCUGAGAGGGUGGCCGGGCACCUUGGGACUGAGAUACGGACCAGACUGCUACGGGAGGCAGCAGUGGAGAAUAUUGCACAGUGGGCGGGAGUCUGAUGCAGCAACGCUGCGUGCGGGAUGACGGCCUGCGGGUUGUAAACCGCUUUCGCCUGAGACGAAGCGGGAGUGACGGUAAUGAGUAAAGAAGCACCGGCUAACUACGUG
This 468-nucleotide ribosomal RNA is filed under the name uncultured bacterium. RNAcentral's name for it is "partial 16S ribosomal RNA". It matches the Rfam family "Bacterial small subunit ribosomal RNA", at positions 28 to 507 of the family's 1533-position model. The record is from RNAcentral.